CACAAUGUACUAAUGCGUUAGGAAUAGCCACCAUUCAUUUAUUCGUGCUUUUUACAGAUCAGCGAAUUGAAGAAAACAGCAUUAUAUGAUAAAAUAAAAAAUAAAAAAAAAAUCCCACUGACUCCAACUGCUUUCACUUUUUCCCAUUUACUUCCCGCCCACAGCUUGCGUCUCAAUGCGUGGGUUGUUUUGUUGACUCAGUUGCCAUGGGAACCUUUAAAGCUCCGCGACAAACUUUAUUCAAAUGAGCAUCUGUACAGGCCACGCCCCCUCGGCAUGUGCUGUCAAUCACGCCCACAGCCUGCUGAUCCAAUCAGAGCCACAUGAUCGCUGGAGACACAAGAAACAAUCUGACAAUUUCCCAAAUCAACCCGUCUGAGUCCAAACCUGAGAGGAGGAAUUGAAGGAACAGCUGCCAAAUAGACAAGCGCAACACUCGAAGAUAAUCUGCCACAUUGAAAAUGCUCAGCACACUAAGAGAAUUAAUUAUACAUCAAAUAAUGAAUGGAAUUAAGCUCGAAUAACAUUGCUGCUGGCAGUGUUAGCCGCUGAAGUUUGCGCGCAGAACCCCCCUCUAGGCUCGGUGAGGACAGAAUGUCAAGGGAGUGUUAUGAUGAUGAUGUUGGAGA
Polyodon spathula (Mississippi paddlefish) is the source of this 629-nucleotide long non-coding RNA. RefSeq lists it as uncharacterized. The transcript is spliced from 3 exons. Lineage: Eukaryota; Metazoa; Chordata; Actinopteri; Acipenseriformes; Polyodontidae. The record is from RefSeq and is a predicted model, not a curated record.